CAAUAGCGUAUAUUUAAGUUGUUGCAGUUAAAAAGCUCGUAGUUGGAUUUCGGUUGAGAACGGCCGGUCCGCCGUUUGGUGUGCACUGGCUGGUUUCAACUUCCUGUAGAGGACGUACUCUGGGUUAACGCUCGGAUACGGAGUCUACGUGGUUACUUUGAAAAUUAGAGUGUUCAAAGCGGGCUUACGCUUGAAUAUUUCAGCAUGGAAUAACACUAUAGGACUCCUGUCCUAUUUCGUUGGUCUCGGGACGGGAGUAAUGAUUAAGAGGAACAGUUGGGGCGAUUCGUAUUUCUAUUGUCAGAGGUGGAAAUUACUUGGAUUUAUUGAAAGAACGAACUUCUGCGAAAGACAUUUGUCCAACGGAUGUUUUCUAUUAAUUCAAGAACGAAAGUUAGGGGCGUCGAAGACGAUCAGAUACCAU
RNAcentral lists this ribosomal RNA (424 nucleotides) under uncultured eukaryote. RNAcentral describes it as "SSU rRNA". It matches the Rfam family "Eukaryotic small subunit ribosomal RNA", at positions 592 to 1018 of the family's 1831-position model. The record is from RNAcentral.